GGUAAGUUCCGACCUGCACGAAUGGUGCAACGAUCUGGACACUGUCUCAGCCAUGAGCUCGGUGAAAUUGUAGUAUCGGUGAAGAUGCCGAUUACCCGCUACGGGACGAAAAGACCCCGUGAACCUUUACUAUAGCUUAGUAUUGGCUUUGGAUAAGUAAUGUGUAGGAUAGGUCGGAGACUUUGAAGCAGCAUCGCUAGGUGUUGUGGAGUCAUUGUUGAAAUACGACCCUUUGCUUAUCU
RNAcentral lists this ribosomal RNA (242 nucleotides) under Saccharophagus degradans. RNAcentral describes it as "partial 23S ribosomal RNA". It matches the Rfam family "Bacterial large subunit ribosomal RNA", at positions 1975 to 2216 of the family's 2925-position model. The record is from RNAcentral. Lineage: Bacteria; Pseudomonadati; Pseudomonadota; Gammaproteobacteria; Cellvibrionales; Cellvibrionaceae.